This 996-nucleotide long non-coding RNA is filed under the name Homo sapiens (human). RNAcentral describes it as "HSALNT0118876". Lineage: Eukaryota; Metazoa; Chordata; Mammalia; Primates; Hominidae. The record is from RNAcentral.
GGGGAGAAGAAGGGAAAGGAGUUUGGAUGGACGAACAGCAUAAGCAACAUUCUGGAAUUUUCUUUAAUGCUCUCAUGAAUGCAUUCUUGGAAUUUUCUAAUAUGUAAACAUUAUUUUGUGGCCAACUGACUUCAAUUAUAUGUAGAACCAUCCAAAAGUCUCCUCUCAGGCAUUAAGGAACAUGAACGCUUUUAAGGGAUUUCCAAACUGGAAAUAACCAACACAACUAGGUAAGAAUUGAAGCUUAAGAAAGGUGAGAGGAUAGUAAAAUAACAUAUUUACAUAAAUUCAGGUUCAUAAAGCCAUAUUAAUUACAUAUCAGCACAAUAAGACGACUGGCAGUGGGAAAUGAGCUGGCACCCUUUGGAAACCUAUUGGGAAGGUGAGGUGCUUUAAGACUGGACAUUGGAGAUUAGACAUGCCUGAAUUUAAUCCUUGAAAGAGCUGUGCAAAACAGCCACUUUGUGGCCACCAUCUGACAUGUCACACAGUGUGGGAUAGGGAAUAGACUUUCAUGAGUAACAAAUUUACAGCGUAAGAUGAGGAAAAAAAAUGAGUGUGUUUGUGUGGUCUAAUCCUUUUAAUAUCCCCCGGAUGAAUGACCAGGCCCAGGACACUCUGUUGGACACAUGGUGGGUGAACAUUUUGGGUGGUAAGAAUUCCUCCUCUUGACAUUCUCCUUUACCACAGAGCAAGCCUGAGAGCAAUUUUAUCAAUGGGAGAAGACGGGCAGAACAGACUGACUAACAGGUUAUCUGGGCACCAUCUUUACUGAGUUUGGAUGUCAACUGUCAAGCAUCCAUCAUGCACCAUGUACACCACAGUGCACCACAGCUGAGACCAGUGUGGAUCCCACCAUCAGCAGCUUUUCCAAAGGACCCAGGCAAAAUGUGUGGUGUUUCUGAGGGCAUCCUCUUCCACAUUUUUAGCGUAAUCUACCUCGACACACAGAUGCAAUGCUCACAGAGGCCAGAACGCUUCCCAGAAGCAGCCAAG